GUGGGGAAUUUUGGACAAUGGGUGAAAGCCUGAUCCAGCCAUGCCGCGUGCAGGAUGAAGGCCUUCGGGUUGUAAACUGCUUUUGUACGGAACGAAAAGACUCCUUCUAAUAAAGGGGGUCCAUGACGGUACCGUAAGAAUAAGCACCGGCUAACUACGUGCCAGCAGCCGCGGUAAUACGUAGGGUGCAAGCGUUAAUCGGAAUUACUGGGCGUAAAGCGUGCGCAGGCGGUUAUAUAAGACAGAUGUGAAAUCCCCGGGCUCAACCUGGGAACUGCAUUUGUGACUGUAUAGCUAGAGUACGGUAGAGGGGGAUGGAAUUCCGCGUGUAGCAGUGAAAUGCGUAGAUAUGCGGAGGAACACCGAUGGCGAAGGCAAUCCCCUGGACCUGUACUGACGCUCAUGCACGAAAGCGUGGGGAGCAAACAGGAUUAGAAACCCGGGUAGUCC
This 450-nucleotide ribosomal RNA is filed under the name uncultured bacterium. RNAcentral describes it as "partial 16S ribosomal RNA". It matches the Rfam family "Bacterial small subunit ribosomal RNA", at positions 354 to 796 of the family's 1533-position model. The record is from RNAcentral.